CAGGGAAUCUUGCACAAUGGGCGAAAGCCUGAUGCAGCGACGCCGCGUGGGGGAUGAAGGCCUUAGGGUCGUAAACCCCUUUCAGCAGGGACGAAAAUGACGGUACCUGCAGAAGAAGCCCCGGCCAACUACGUGCCAGCAGCCGCGGUAAGACGUAGGGGGCGAGCGUUGUCCGGAUUUAUUGGGCGUAAAGAGCUCGUAGGCGGUUGCGUAAGUCGGAUGUGAAAACUCAGGGCUCAACCCUGAGACGCCAUCCGAUACUGCGCUGACUUGAAUCCAGUAGGGGAGUGUGGAAUUCCUGGUGUAGCGGUGAAAUGCGCAGAUAUCAGGAGGAACACCCAUGGCGAAGGCAGCACUCUGGGCUGGUAUUGACGCUGAGGAGCGAAAGCAUGGGUAGCGAACAGGAUUAGAUACCCUUGUAGUCCCUGAGCGGGCUGGCAAGGCGCAU
This 448-nucleotide ribosomal RNA is filed under the name uncultured bacterium. Its description in RNAcentral is "bacterial SSU rRNA". It matches the Rfam family "Bacterial small subunit ribosomal RNA", at positions 355 to 825 of the family's 1533-position model. The record is from RNAcentral.